GAUGAACGCUGGCGGCGUGCCUAAUACAUGCAAGUCGAGCGAACAGACGAGGAGCUUGCUCCUCUGACGUUAGCGUCGGACGGGGGAGUAACACGUGGAUAACCUACCUAUAAGACUGGGAUAACUUCGGGAAACCGGAGCUAAUACCGGAUAAUAUAUUGAACCUCAUGGUUCAAUAGUGAAAGACGGUUUUGCUGUCACUUAUAGAUGGAUCCGCGCCGCAUUAGCUAGUUGGUAAGGUAACGGCUUACCAAGGCAACGAUGCGUAGCCGACCUGAGAGGGUGAUCGGCCACACUGGAACUGAGAAACGGUCCAGACUCCUACGGGAGGCAGCAGUAGGGAAUCUUCGGCAAUGGGCGAAAGCCUGACGGAGCAACGCCGCGUGAGUGAUGAAGGUCUUCGGAUCGUAAAACUCUGUUAUUAGGGAAGAAAAAAUGUGUAAGUAAAUAUGCACGUCUUGACGGUACCUAAUCAGAAAGCCACGGCUAACUACGUG
RNAcentral lists this ribosomal RNA (497 nucleotides) under uncultured bacterium. RNAcentral describes it as "partial 16S ribosomal RNA". It matches the Rfam family "Bacterial small subunit ribosomal RNA", at positions 28 to 507 of the family's 1533-position model. The record is from RNAcentral.